UGUAAUGAUUAUUAUGGUCACCAUGUUAAUCAUUACAGUUUAUGAAUGAGAAUGUGUUUGUCGUGUUGUCACCUGACCUCUGUGAGAAUUUCUUUUUUAAUGUUUUGAAAAAUGUCUCACAUAAAGUCUCUUACACUUUACUGUUAAUGUUUACAAUCACAGUAGCUCCAUCAGGACCUGACAGCUCUUCAUCUCCUCUGUGGUUGGUUGUUGGACUGGUUUGUGGAGUCUCUCUUCUUAUUAUCCUCCUGCUUUUAAUGUUUCACUAUGCAAAGGCAAAGGAUGUAUGCUUUACUGGGCCGAUCCAGUCGGACAUCAACAGUCAAGACUCCACCAGAAAUCAUGGAGUCAAUCAGGAUGAAACCCAUGAAUACAAAUCUCUUCAGCAUGGUGAAUAUGAACUCUAUGAAACAGUCCAUCCCUCAGAAGACACUGCUGACGGUCCAAAUGGUGAUCAUCACAUCUAUGAAACAAUCCAUGACGUGAGUGAGACUACAAAUGAGGCAGAUGAAGCUCACGAAGCCACAUACUCUCUUAUUGAUCUUAAAAACUAUCUAAAGGACAGUCAGUGAAUAGAGCUACAGCAGCAAAGCCAAAAGAAUCAUAAUAUAAGAAUCAUAAUAUAAUCGCACUAUAAUGAUCAUUACAUAUGCAUGCAUGUUCCCUACAUGUUUGUAUGUUCCCUAUAGUCAGCCCAUCUUGAUGAAUCUUUGCCUAAGCAUUGUUUAGGGCACUGUGAGUGCAUAUUUGACAGUUUAAUUGAGCACCAAAUGAAAUCUCCAAAAGUGGAUUCUGUUCAUCUGGACGUAGUGUUUUGUGGGAGAAACGUUUCGUCACUCAUCCAAGUGACUUCUUCAGUCUCACCACCAAAUGAAAUGUGAUAAUAGAGAAUAGAUUAUCAGAUUAGAGUGAUGUGUCUUAUUUAAUAUAUUUUACCAUCAUACUUUAUCUGUUCUAAAUCACAAUACAGCUUUAAAUUAAGGUUUUGCUGUGCUACAUGAGGGCACUAAUACAUAUUUUUUUUACAGUAUAAUGUAUUAUACAUUAUGUUAAAAUAAAUAAAUGGUGUGACUGAUGCUGUACGGAGGUAAAUGGAGUUUAUUUCCAAUCUGUCAGUAGUAUUUUUGUUGCAUCAUGCUCCUGUAUAUCAUAUCUGUAAACUAUAACUGUGAAACCCAAUAACACUGAG
Oreochromis niloticus (Nile tilapia) is the source of this 1189-nucleotide long non-coding RNA. RefSeq lists it as uncharacterized. The transcript has 7 exons. NCBI's taxonomy places the organism in Eukaryota, Metazoa, Chordata, Actinopteri, Cichliformes, Cichlidae. The record is from RefSeq and is a predicted model, not a curated record.